This 269-nucleotide ribosomal RNA is filed under the name uncultured bacterium. Its description in RNAcentral is "partial 16S ribosomal RNA". It matches the Rfam family "Bacterial small subunit ribosomal RNA", at positions 374 to 660 of the family's 1533-position model. The record is from RNAcentral.
GGGAGUACUCUGAUGCAGCGACGCCGCGUGAGUGAAGAAGUGAUUCGUUAUGUAAAGCUCUAUCAGCAGGGAAGAUAGUGACGGUACCUGACUAAGAAGCUCCGGCUAAAUACGUGCCAGCAGCCGCGGUAAUACGUAUGGAGCAAGCGUUAUCCGGAUUUACUGGGUGUAAAGGGAGUGUAGGUGGCCAUGCAAGUCAGAAGUGAAAAUCCGGGGCUCAACCCCGGAACUGCUUUUGAAACUGUAAGGCUGGAGUUUGGCAGAGGGAG